GGGUUCCAUUUUCUCCACAUCCUUGUCAACAUUUUUUAUUUAUGUUCUUUUUGUUGAUGGACAUCCUGACAGGUGUGAGGUGCUAUUUCAUUAUGGUUUUGAUUUGCAUUUCCCUGAUGAUGAGAGAUGUUGAGCAUCUUUUUCUUGUGCCUGUGGCGAACAGACCUUUUCCUUCUUAUUUCACGUGUGUGGGUUGAAGAACUGAAGUUAUUUUCCCAAGGUCCCUCAUUUAGGAAGAAGAGGGAACAGAAAAAUUGGUGAGCCUUUGGAGAUGAGAGGACAGAGACCUGUGACUAAGAAACCUGGCUAAAGUCAGAUAAUUUCUGUAUGGAAGACUGAAUCUACCAUGUUGGACUCUUCAUUCUUGGGUCCAUAAUAUAGAUGAACAUACAGGAUAGACUGGAUUGCAAUUGGGAAACUCAAUGACUAUUCCUGUAUGGACUUUACUUAAGAAUAGCAUCUUGGCAUCACUGAGGAGGAAAGAAUAUAGAAACUGUCCGACAGCCUCUGAGCAUGUCCAUCAAUUUGAAUCGGCUUAUUUCUGCUUUUUGAGUCUUGGUUACUCAAAGGAUGUGGAAGAUCCUGCCAGAAACCCUUGCAACAGAGAAGGAAUAAACUCUGCCUGCUCACUGGGAAGAUGA
This 641-nucleotide long non-coding RNA is filed under the name Sus scrofa (pig). Its description in RNAcentral is "lncRNA (ENSSSCG00035029145.1)". Lineage: Eukaryota; Metazoa; Chordata; Mammalia; Artiodactyla; Suidae. The record is from RNAcentral.